UAAUUAAGCAGAGGAAAAGAAACUAACCAGGAUUGGUCCAGUAACGGCGAGUGAAGGGCCAAAUGUCCAGCCUGAGAAUCAUCACUCGUGAUGAAUUGUGGUAUGGAGGUCAAUUGUUUAGCUUGUUGGCCAAGUCCCCUGGAAUGGGGCAGCAUAGAGGGUGAGACUCCCGUUUGCCAGCCGGCAGAAAAUUUGACCAGCGAGUCGGGUUGUUUGGGAUUGCAGCUCUAAGCGGGUGGUAAAUUCCAUCCAAGACUAAAUAUGGGUGAGGGACUAAUAGUGUACAAGUACCGUGAGGGAAAGAUGCAAAGCCGCGCGAAAGCGCUGUCAAAGAGUACCUGAAAUUGCUGAAAUGGAAGCAAAGGAAACUAGUGCAGGCCACCCUGCAUUUCCCCAUUUGCUUGCAAAUGGGGCGCUGCAGAUGGCUGUGUUUCAAUCACUGCGCCGCAGAGGAAGAUACUGGCACUGCGAUACAGUGGUUGCGACAAAAUGGUUUCCUUUUUCCCG
Molecule: ribosomal RNA, 507 nt
Filed under: Surirella sp. small_isopolar
Lineage: Eukaryota; Bacillariophyta; Bacillariophyceae; Surirellales; Surirellaceae
Description: eukaryotic LSU rRNA
Rfam family: Eukaryotic large subunit ribosomal RNA
Source: RNAcentral